This 440-nucleotide ribosomal RNA is filed under the name uncultured bacterium. RNAcentral's name for it is "partial 16S ribosomal RNA". It matches the Rfam family "Bacterial small subunit ribosomal RNA", at positions 338 to 795 of the family's 1533-position model. The record is from RNAcentral.
CCUACGGGUGGCUGCAGUGGGGGAUAUUGCACAAUGGGGGAAACCCUGAUGCAGCGACGCCGCGUGGGUGAAGAAGCGCCUCGGCGCGUAAAGCCCUGUCAGCAGGGAAGAAAAUGACGGUCGCUGAAGAAGAAGCCCCUGCUAACUACGUGCCAGCAGCCGCGGUAAUACGUAGGGGGCAAGCGUUAUCCGGAUUGACUGGGUGUAGCGGGGGCGCAGACGGCGAUGCAAGACAGGAGGGAAGGCCGGGGGCCCAACCCCGGGACUGCUCUUGGAACUGCGUGGCUGGAGUGCAGGAGGGGCAGGCGGAAUUCCUGGUGUAGCGGUGAAAUGCGUAGAUAUCAGGAGGAACAACGGUGGCGAAGGCGGCCUGCUGGACUGCAACUGACGUUGAGGCCCGAAAGCGUGGGGAGCAAACAGGAUUAGAUACCCGGGUAGUC